AUCUUUAGUAAACGCUAUGAAUUGGCAGCCAGAUUUGGAGUGAAGUGAAUGUGAGUGAAGCUGGAAGCAGAUUCUGCAAGAAACCCAAAUGUUGCAGGGGGGUUUUCCGAGCGUCAGUCUUAGGUCUCUCAGUACCCCCUUUGACACUCGUGGCCACACUCUUCUGCCAUGCCCAUUACAGUGACUCACUCGGAACUGCUUGGGAAUCAGUGACUUGGCAGUUUUAGGAUGAAGCUUCUACCAACCUGAGUGUCUGAGUAAGAUGAGCAGAAUUCCCUCACCCACCAAUGCUAUAGAUCAAGUUAAAGAAUAAUCCUUGGUAAAUCAUGGCUGCAGGUGACUGAUGGAAGUUUCAGAGGCUGGACUGGAAGAUGAAACUGGGGCAAGAUGUUACACAGCAUGGCCUCAGGAACCUGAGCUCCAGCAACCUGCGGGUCCCAAUGGAGGCAAAGUCAAGGAGCGUCUCAGGGAGUGGUUGAUGUGUGAAGUCUCUGUCUGUCCAUCUGAAUAACAAGAAGUGGGGCUUGUGAUUUUCCUCCACU
This 542-nucleotide small RNA is filed under the name Pongo abelii (Sumatran orangutan). Its description in RNAcentral is "sense overlapping". Lineage: Eukaryota; Metazoa; Chordata; Mammalia; Primates; Hominidae. The record is from RNAcentral.